AGAAUGAAGGAUGCAUAUUCACCGGUUCCCUGCAAUAUGCUUUGUCAAUCAGGGUAUAUCCAUUAUUUUAAUCAGUUCUUGAUAAAUUGGUUUAAUCAGUAUUUGAUCAAUAUGUACAGGAGUAUGAGUAUCAGAGCUUGGUCAGUUGUUUGGUCAAGUUUGGGCGUAAACUUGUUUUCGGUUGGAUUGUUUGUAUUUGAGAGGCCUACAACAUGUUGCAGUGGCUUCAGCGGUCUAAGCAUCGGCAGGGGCUGCUCAACUGCAUCAGUUUUGAUGGGGUGUAAGGAUUAUCUUCAACGUCACACUUCUAAUAAGAGGAUGUUCUUAGAAUUAUCUAAUUAUCUUGCUCUUUAUUCUUAGCGAAAUUCUGUUAGAGCUAUAAGAAAAAGAGGAUCAGUACGUGGCAACAUCCAGUCGAGAGAAUCAACAAUUGGGCUUUAUUCCCAUGCUCACGAGUUAUUGAGUGAAUGUCAAAGCAGACUGAAAGCGAGAAUAUCUGUAUGCUUCAGUGAUUCAGUCAAAGCAUCCCAUCGAGCAGUUCACAAUUGAGGGGCAUUCACAAGUAAGCUAAAUCUUAUGCUCCUUUUUGUUCAUGUGAGAUGCACAUUGUUUAUAUUUUAUCUAGCCUUAAUCUCUUACUAUGAAUUUGUUUUGUCAAAAGUACCCGUAAACUGCGAUUACUGUAACAUAGUUUUUUCAUGUUCCCAUGCACGGUGAAAACAUCCUCUGAGGAAAUAGAAAUAACCAUCAAGCAGUUCACUAAACUACGUAAUUACCUAGGGACGUUGAACUAACUGAAAUAUCUGAACUGGCGUGUUAACAGCGUACUGAUUAGUGAAUGAUAAAAUUAUGUGUUGCUUUGCGUUCUGACUCUGACAAAAAAAAAUUGUGUUUACUAUUUCCGGGACCUUCAAGGAAUAAAUAUGAGCGCUCAUUUUCUUCUUCCACUCAAUCAUAUAUUUCAUCGGCAUCUACUCCAUUGAACAUCACCGUAUUUAUUGUCCUUGCAUUGACCGGGCCUGAGGAAGCUGAUUGUUGCCUGAGCCUAUAAUUGGAUGCCACCAACUGGGCUUUGUGAAAAUUUCCCCAUGGGAGCUAAGUUUCUUAAUCUUACACUUUUUCUGCAACUAAUGUUGUUACUUAGACAGUCAAUUGGGAGGGGCAAGAUGAUGUUACAAGCUCUGAACUCUGAGCAUGUGCUGAUGUGUAUUUAUUCCCAAUGUUUUGAUGUGUCCAGUAAAAAGUACUCAAAAGGACCAGGAGUAACAAGUCAAUACCCUGCUUGUAGAAAAUGGUUUAUUGAUCAGUUGCUACAUAUAUAUUAGCCCAGACUAUACAUAUGUAUGCAUUGGAAAACAUUUGUACUAACUCCCAGAAAGGGCCAACUCUUUCACAGGAGGUAAAUAUCUGUAAACAUUUACUAUAUUUGGUGAACACUUGAAUUAUAGGCUGGUACUAAUGACCACUCAUGUUGGAAAUAAA
Lolium rigidum is the source of this 1482-nucleotide long non-coding RNA. RefSeq lists it as uncharacterized. The transcript is spliced from 2 exons. Lineage: Eukaryota; Viridiplantae; Streptophyta; Magnoliopsida; Poales; Poaceae. The record is from RefSeq and is a predicted model, not a curated record.